CGGGCAAUUGCUAUUCUUAAAAAGGAUAGAGGAAAGUCCGAACUUCACAGAACAGAGUGCCGGGUAACGCCCGGGGUUCCGAAUUUCAGGAAUACGGAAAGUGCCACAGAAAAUAUACCGUCUCGAUUUUCGAGAUAAGGGUGAAAAGGCAGGGUAAGAGCCUACCGCGGAAAUGGUAACAUUUCCGGUCCCGUCAAGGGAUCUUGCGAAAGCAAGACAAGGUAAACCCCACUCGAAGCAAGGCCAAGCAGGAAACCCUCCGUGUUUUUUCAGAGCAAAGUUGUUCGCUUUGAUUGUCUGUUCUUAUACAGACAUGGUUUCCGGGUGGACCGCGAGAGGCUGACAGUAAUGUUAGUCCCAGAUAAAUAAUUGCCGUCCCUGACGAUCAGGGAUUACAGAAUUCGGCUUAUAAG
This 413-nucleotide RNase P RNA is filed under the name marine sediment metagenome. RNAcentral describes it as "Bacterial RNase P class A". It matches the Rfam family "Bacterial RNase P class A". Rfam says of the family: Ribonuclease P (RNase P) is a ubiquitous endoribonuclease, found in archaea, bacteria and eukarya as well as chloroplasts and mitochondria. Its best characterised activity is the generation of mature 5'-ends of tRNAs by cleaving the 5'-leader elements of precursor-tRNAs. The record is from RNAcentral.